GUAGAGAUGAAAUUNUAUGAUACCUUUUUUNGAAAGAAAAGCUAUGGCACAGGUAUAGGCGAAGGCAUCCCCUUAUGUGAUAACUGACGUUGAGGGACGAAGGCUUCGAUUAACGAACAGGAUUAGAUACCCUGGUAGUUGAGGCAGUAAAUGAUGAAUGUCAUAGAUUAGAUGUAUAAGUUUAUUCUAUAAAUGAAAGUGUAAGCAUUCCACCUCGAGAGUAAUUUGGCAACAUUGGAACUGAAAUCAUUAGACCGUUUCUGAAACCAGUAGUGAAGUAUGUUGUUUAAUUUGAUAAUCCGCAAAAAACCUUACCACAAUUUGAAUAUUUAUAUUGUUAUUUCCUUAAUUUUUUAUUUCAUAUUGCAUAAAUAGUUGAACAAUUAAAUUAAAAACGACAUCUUCCGCAACAAAGUAUAUUUUAUUCAUGGAAAAUGCAUAAAAUAUAUGUCUUGUGGAACAAGGCAAUAACAGUAUAUUUACAAGCGUUGCACGGCUGUCUUCAGUUAAUGUCGCGAGGCUAUGGUUAGUUCCAUUAAUUAACGUAAACCCUUACUUUAUUUUUAUAUAGAGUAGUUCCCCACUAGAUUGGAUAUGAUAACAGGGACUAAGAC
RNAcentral lists this ribosomal RNA (614 nucleotides) under Bulbothrix aff. hypocraea BR 12888. RNAcentral's name for it is "SSU rRNA". It matches the Rfam family "Bacterial small subunit ribosomal RNA", at positions 675 to 1174 of the family's 1533-position model. The record is from RNAcentral. Lineage: Eukaryota; Fungi; Ascomycota; Lecanoromycetes; Lecanorales; Parmeliaceae.